Long non-coding RNA from Ipomoea nil (Japanese morning glory), 285 nucleotides. RefSeq lists it as uncharacterized. NCBI's taxonomy places the organism in Eukaryota, Viridiplantae, Streptophyta, Magnoliopsida, Solanales, Convolvulaceae. The record is from RefSeq and is a predicted model, not a curated record. The transcript is spliced from 3 exons.
CUAACGGAGUAAAAUUUGGGAUCUAAUUGAAAGAAUUAUUAUUUGGGCUGAGUAACAAUACUUAUGAUAAUGCAUGCUCUAAUGUUUCGGUCUCCACUCACAAUAGGCUAGAAGCUUACCUCGAUAUCAUGGAAUACACUCUCUCGACAUUUCACAACUUCACCGCCACUAUGUUCUCUAACUUCGUUGUUUUCAUUGGUGAUAUAUCUCACUUUGCAGUGAACGUGUUUGUAUUGAUUUAUAAUUGCAGUGAUGGAUCUGAUCUGAAAGGCUCCUUUUAUAGGC